AAGGAGUGGCAGAACAUGCUGUAAUUCUCUACAGCCUCAUAGACUCAAAGGGACUCUUAAGAAUGAGGUCAUCCCUACAGCACUCAGGCUUUCAGUAUGACAUAGAGCAGGUAGUCAUCACUGGGACAGUGUGUCUGUCUCUAGAAGGAGCAGAAUUGGGCAGCACGAUUCACACUAUGAUACAGAAAUUUUGCCUCAUUUCUGCUCCCUGUUGUGCCUAAAAUCUUGCCGGAUUAUCAGCAUCUAAAACCCAACUUCACUGCCACUUUUCAUCAGCAGAAUCUGAAUGCUGUAAAUCUUUCCAGGCUCCAAAAAGAAUAACACUGUUCACAAGAAGUUCAAAGAGGAUUACGCAAAUACCAAAAUGGACUAGUCCAACAAGCACCAAUGGGACCAUUCCUUUGCAGCAGCUCCUGCCACUAUCCACACCAGUUAUGUGAGAGUGCUGCUCCAGUAUGCUCUGCAAGCUGCUAUUCCCUCCUGGAUGAAGAGUGCCCCCACACUGCCAUUCCCAUUGCAAAAGGACUGGAUAUUGAAAAACUUAGCAGCAGGAUGGUAUUGAUGCAUGCAAGCCUACCUCCAAACCAAAUUACAGGUGUCGGCAAAGAAGACUGCGAUGGCUCUGAAAAGGAACCAUUAGCUGUGAAGUUAAUAAAUUCUUCAUGUAUGGCAUGUUGUUCUAAAACUUUGUUUACGUUCGAGUUUGUCUCAUUUUCAGGCCUUACAUACAUUUUGUUAAAUGGAAUAAAUGACUAUCUAUCUACCAAAACCCAACAAAAGGCUUCACAGUUAUUGCUUUGUUGUUGUUGUUGUUGUAAUCUUUGAGAUUAAUGAUUUGUAUCAGUCCCUUCUUGUGAUGAAAAACAGAAAAUCUGUAAAUCAUCAAACAAAUCUCCUUUAUUUUACUAUAGUUGGAGAACUAAAAAAUACACUAAAAAGUAGCACAGUUGGGAACAACUGUUUUUAUUAUUUCCUAA
Long non-coding RNA from Coturnix japonica (Japanese quail), 977 nucleotides. RefSeq lists it as uncharacterized. Lineage: Eukaryota; Metazoa; Chordata; Aves; Galliformes; Phasianidae. The record is from RefSeq and is a predicted model, not a curated record.